Molecule: ribosomal RNA, 467 nt
Filed under: uncultured bacterium
Lineage: Bacteria
Description: partial 16S ribosomal RNA
Rfam family: Bacterial small subunit ribosomal RNA
Source: RNAcentral
GACGAACGCUGGCGGCGUGCUUAACACAUGCAAGUCGAACGGAAAGGCCCUGCUUUUGUGGGGUGCUCGAGUGGCGAACGGGUGAGUAACACGUGAGUAACCUGCCCUUGACUUUGGGAUAACUUCAGGAAACUGGGGCUAAUACCGGAUAGGAGCUCCUGCUGCAUGGUGGGGGUUGGAAAGUUUCGGCGGUUGGGGAUGGACUCGCGGCUUAUCAGCUUGUUGGUGGGGUAGUGGCUUACCAAGGCUUUGACGGGUAGCCGGCCUGAGAGGGUGACCGGCCACAUUGGGACAGGGAUACGGCCCAGACUCCUGCGGGAGGCAGCAGUGGGGAAUAUUGCACAAUGGGCGGAGGCCGGAUGCAGCAACGCCGCGUGCGGGAGGACGGCCUUCGGGUUGUAAACCGCUUUCGCCUGUGACGAAGCGUGAGUGACGGUAAUGGGUAAAGAAGCACCGGCUAACUACGU